Long non-coding RNA from Canis lupus familiaris (dog), 3587 nucleotides. RefSeq lists it as uncharacterized. NCBI's taxonomy places the organism in Eukaryota, Metazoa, Chordata, Mammalia, Carnivora, Canidae. The transcript has 4 exons. The record is from RefSeq and is a predicted model, not a curated record.
AUACAAGUCCGAACCCGCUUUUUUUUUUUUUUUUUUUUCUUUGUUCCCUGAUUCCAUGUACUUAGGCAAAGCUCAAAGUCAGAACCUGGUAAAACUCAAAAGUAGGUCAGGAAAAUAGAAUCGUAAAAGAUGUCAGAGAGUCAAGUGAAGAAAGGAGAGAGAGGGAAAAAAAGACCUUUCGUUGGCGCUUAAGCCAGUAAAACCUCUUGGUGACUUCCUCCGCACCAGUGCCCAACAAAUGUCUGAACUGUUGAGCGUCCAAGACAAGGAAAGCGUGACCUGUAUGUGGCCCGAGAACUGAAUGGACCCAACGUGGAGAAGAACAAGACAGCUCCGCGAUUUUAUUUAUUCAUGAGAGACCCACAGAGAGAGAGAGAGGCAGAGACACAGGCCGAGGGAGAAGCAGGUUCCCUGCGCGAUGUGGGACUCGACCCCAGGACCCCGGGAUCACAACCUGAGCCAAAGGCUGAUGCUCAGCCAUUGAGCCAUCCAAGGGCCUCUCAACCUAGACUUUCUGGAGUUUUAAUCAUGCAUAAAGACACUAACUACAGCAGAAAAUUGAACCUAGGAUCCUUCAUGGCUGUGGCGUCGUGUCUUCCUGCACCUGUGUACCCUCACAUGCUGAAUACCUGCCCUUCUCUUUCAUUUUCCCCAUUAGUCCUCAGGCCAUUGCCUCCCUUCCCAGCCUAGACUGCAGGGUUUAUCAGCAUCCACACUCCCUGCGUCCGAUGCCUCUGACCCAGGAGCCUGUCAGAACUGUAACCCUGAAUGCAUCCCAUAAAUCCCCAGCUCGGUGCCCUGGAGGAAGCACUACACAAGGGCGUAUGGUCUCCAGUGUCAGCUCACCAGAUUCUUGACAAUCCUUUAAUUGGUCGUUCAUCAGUUUCCGGUCUUACGGUGUUCAGUGCUUUCUUACAAACCACCCCUUCCCAGCCUCAACUCCUGUCUUUGUUAGAAGGUGCCCAAUGUAGUCUGAAAGGUGUUUUUCAGACACAUGCAUCUGCAGUGUUUAUGUCGGUUCCUGCUCAUUUUAAUUUCAUGUUCCCUUUCUAGAUUGUACUUUAGAGAAGGAUGACAGACCUUUGAGUGGCAUGAUGGGGAUGCUCAGGGAGACAACCCUGCAGUUGGAACUUUACCUUUAAUGCACGUGGUGCUCUGUGGCAGCUCAUGCUUUGGGUUAAAAUAAGCAAAUGUCUUUUUAAAGUGAAGGGAAGGAAAAAUAAGAGGAAAUCAGCAAGGGAAACAACCACAGAAGACUCUAAUUGUAGAAAACAAACAGGAUCACUGGAGGGAAGAUCAGUAAGGCCGAAAAGUUGAUUCACUUGAUCUGGGGUAAUAGAAAUAGGUGAAAAUACUAAGAUGGAUUCUCCUCCCUACCUGCCAUCAGUCACCCAUUCACUGCAACAAAGAUUCCCUACGGGCCACACAUAUUUCCAGCAGCCUUGUUUCCAGUUACCAGAAAAUGCAAGCCAUCCUACAACAUGCAUCUUAAUGUCCUGCCUCCCCAUUUCCCUCCCUGCCCCAUGUACCUCCGUCUUACUUAUCCCAGGAGAUGGAAUAUACCCCCACCUAUGCUGUGGAUCAGUACUUCUCCUUCUAGACCCCUCAGCUGCAUUUGGUACCACUGAUCAGAUCCUCCUUGAAACCUAACUCCCUUUGCGUUGCUUCUUUUUUUUCUGCCUACUUCAUACUUCUUAGCUGGCUCUUUCUCUCCCUGCCCUUUAAACAGUGUAGGUUCCAACAUUUUAUUAUUAUUAUUAUUAUUAUUAUUAUUAUUAUUAUUAUUAUUAUUAUCUGUAUUUUCUCCUUGGGAGUAUCACCCACUCAUUGUUUUAAUCUAUUUGCUCAUGGAGCCUAAAACUGCUGUUCCAGACUUCUUUGAGGUUCAGACUUUUAUUUCUAUUGGUUCACAGUCUCCUUGAACCUUCCUGGGUGUAAUCGGAAACCAGGCCCAUAGUUGGAGGGCAGGGAGAGGUGGAAGAAAGAGGCCACUCCAGAGGGGUAGGUAGCAGGUUGACGAAGCAAAGGAACUUACGUACAAGGCUUGUUCUGCCUGCCAAACCUCGAAAGUUUACGCAGAAUCCUGAAUGGGGUCCAGUCACGUAUGCAAUCCAGAUGGGUCUCAGCAGCACAUCACUAUCUCAAGGCUGUGUCCUUGGAGCAGCCUCUGGACCCAGGGGAGGCAAGCUGGACACACAUUUCAAGGACAGGGGAGGGCAUGAUGAGCCUCCAGUUGCCGGUGUCCAGCUCACAGGUCAACCAGUGGUCAUGUCCCUUUGGUGACUCCUACAAUGAUUUCCUGGCCUUCUAGAUGGAUCCACUUGGGAGGGCUCAUGAGCCAUUCCAACUUUAAUUUGUCCCUUUCACUUCCACUAUCUCAGUGCUGUCCCUAGCCUUACCACCGCUGCCCACACGCCCAAAUUCAUCUUGUAAGUAGCAGCCAGAGGGAUCAGUCCCAAAUGUAAACCCAAAAGUUUCACUUGUCUGCUUAGAUUUCUUCAAUCCAUCUUUCUUAUCACCUCCAAGAUAAAGUCUAACUCCAUAGCCUGGCGUGCUAGGAGGACCUCCAUGGUCUUGUCACUGUUUAUGCUUCCAAACUUAUCUCCCAUCACACCCACUCCCCGUUCAUGAGGCAGUUUGAGAUCUUAUUUUUAUUGACUAUUUGGGCUAUCCUGAUUUCUUUGCCUGACUCUUACUUAUCCUGGUUUUUCAGAGAGUCAAGAAGUUUUUACCUAUUCCAUAGUCUGAAUGAGUUGACUUUCCUCCUGGCUUUCUUGGCAAUCAUCUUUUCAUUCAAAAAACUUUAUUGAGCCUCUAAUUUUGUGCCAGACACUGAACUAGAUACUAGAAACAUAAUAGUGAACAAAUGUAUAAACCAAUCUAACAAUUGACCUGACAUCUUAUAUUCUCAUGGGGAAGGGAGGCAGGUCAUAAAAAUAUUUUUUUUUUUUUAGAAAAUGCAGUUCAACCCAAUUGGCUCCAUACUUGAGAAUAUCUAGGAAUUGGCCGGGUUAAAAGGGGAGGAGGAGAAGUGCUCAGAUAGAGGUAACAACUCGUGGGAAGACCCACACAUGAGAGUAGAGCACAGUCUAAGAACACAGAUUCUAGACAGGGGGCUGAGGAGGUAAACAGGGACCAGAUCAUGAAGAAUAUUCUAGUCCUGUUAAGGAGUUCUUCCUAAAGGUAAUAGAAAGCUUGAGGGGUUUUGACAUGAUAAGGUUUAUAUUUUAGAUGAUGGUUCUGGCUACCGUGAGAAAAAUAGAAUUCAAGAGUGGCAAGGAAACCAGUUCAAGAGGGAGGGAAACCAAUUGGGACAACAUUGUAAUACAGAGAAAGGAAGAUGGUGGCCUGCUCUGGGGUAUUGACAAUGUAAUGGAAAUAGAUCCCAGAGGAAUUUAGGAUGUAGAAGUGAUGGAACUUGAUGAACUAGGAUGGCAGAAGUAAGAGAAAGUAAGGAUAGAGUCUCAUAAACAGGUUUUUUUUUUAAUUAUAAAUUUAUUUUUUAUUGGUGUUCAAUUUGCCAACAUACAGAAUAACACCCAAUGCUCAUCCCGUCAAGUGUCCCCCUCAGUGCCUAUCACCCACUC